AUGAACGUUGGCGGUGUGCCUAAUACAUGCAAGUCGAACGAAGAUGAUAGCAAUAUUGUCUUAGUGGCGAACGGGUGAGUAACGCGUUGGUGACCUGCCCCGAAGUGUGGAAUAACAAUUCGAAAGAAUUGCUAAUACCGCAUGUGAUCUUGGAGAUUAGAACCUCUUUGAUUAAAGGAUUUAUUCGCUUCGGGAGGGGCCUGCGUCCCAUCAGCUAGUUGGUAGGGUAAUGGCCUACCAAGGCUUUGACGGGUAGGGGACCUGAGAGGGUGGCCCCCCACAAUGGAACUGAAACACGGUCCAUACACCUACGGGUGGCAGCAGUAGGGAAUAUUAGUAAUGGGCGAAAGCCUGACCGAGCGACACCGCGUGAGGGAUGAAGUAUUUCGGUAUGUAAACCUCUUUUAUAUAGUCGUCGAGGCUAUAAGAAUAAGCACCUACAAACUACGU
Molecule: ribosomal RNA, 450 nt
Filed under: uncultured bacterium
Lineage: Bacteria
Description: bacterial SSU rRNA
Rfam family: Bacterial small subunit ribosomal RNA
Source: RNAcentral